Molecule: ribosomal RNA, 657 nt
Filed under: Triticum aestivum (bread wheat)
Lineage: Eukaryota; Viridiplantae; Streptophyta; Magnoliopsida; Poales; Poaceae
Description: partial small subunit ribosomal RNA
Source: RNAcentral
AUGGAUACCCCAUUCUCCUUUGUAGAUGCAAAUAAUUCAUAUGUUGUUGCUAGAUCGCUUAAUGAGCAUAAUGUAUCGGCUAGCCCUAAUUUCAUCAAUUAUGCAUGUAAUUAUGUGCAAGGGCCAAUGCAAAAUAAUCUUCAUGCUUCAAAUUCUUAUGAUUUUAGCAACAUACAACAUAUGUAUCCUAACUCUCAUGCAUUAGCAACCCCACAAAUCCAUAUGCCGAUAAACAACAUGAUGAGUUCGGUUAAUCAAGUUGAAACACCUCACAUAGGGAUUUACAUUAGUAUGCAACAAAAUGUUUCACCUUUUUAUUGUCCAGCAACUAACUUGCAAUAUGUUAAUCCAAACAUGCCGGUUCAGAGAGAAAUUGGCCAUGCUACUAUUAGUUAUCCGACCAAUUGCCCUCAACAAUUAUAUGCUACACCUCAUGCUACUAAUUUUUUGGCACCAUAUGCAACUGUAGGUAUUCAUAAUUCGGCUUCGCACCUUCACGCUAAUAGCCGAAUAAGUGAAAAUUCUAUAGGAUCACAUGGUGUUCACCUACUACCAUGGCAAAUCAUGUCCCCCCUACACAAUUAUAGAAUUUCGGCAACAUCUCAUUGUCGAAAGAGUCUAGAGGCAUUGGGGGGCAACCGUAUCCAGACUGGGUAA